This 497-nucleotide ribosomal RNA is filed under the name uncultured bacterium. RNAcentral's name for it is "partial 16S ribosomal RNA". It matches the Rfam family "Bacterial small subunit ribosomal RNA", at positions 28 to 507 of the family's 1533-position model. The record is from RNAcentral.
GAUGAACGCUGGCGGCGUGCCUAAUACAUGCAAGUCGAGCGAACGGACGAGAAGCUUGCUUCUCUGAUGUUAGCGGCGGACGGGUGAGUAACACGUGGAUAACCUACCUAUAAGACUGGGAUAACUUCGGGAAACCGGAGCUAAUACCGGAUGAUAUUUUGAACCGCAUGGUUCAAAAGUGAAAGACGGUCUUGCUGUCACUUAUAGAUGGAUCCGCGCUGCAUUAGCUAGUUGGUAAGGUAACGGCUUACCAAGGCAACGAUGCAUAGCCGACCUGAGAGGGUGAUCGGCCACACUGGAGCUGAGACACGGUCCAGACUCCUACGGGACGCAGCAGUAGGGAAUCUUCCGCAAUGGGCGAAAGCCUGACGGAGCAACGCCGCGUGAGUGAUGAAGGUCUUCGGAUCGUAAAACUCUGUUAUUAGGGAAGAACAUAUGUGUAAGUAACUGUGCACAUCUUGACGGUACCUAAUCAGAAAGCCACGGCUAACUACGUG